GCUCAUUUUGGCAGUGCAUACACUAGAAUUGUAACUAUACAGAGAAGAUUAUCAUGGUCUUUGUGCAAGGAUGAUACACAAAUUUGUGAAGCAUUCCAUAUUUUU
Molecule: small nuclear RNA, 105 nt
Organism: Hippopotamus amphibius kiboko
Lineage: Eukaryota; Metazoa; Chordata; Mammalia; Artiodactyla; Hippopotamidae
Source: RefSeq, a predicted model, not a curated record